Molecule: ribosomal RNA, 156 nt
Filed under: Megadenia pygmaea
Lineage: Eukaryota; Viridiplantae; Streptophyta; Magnoliopsida; Brassicales; Brassicaceae
Description: 5.8S ribosomal RNA
Rfam family: 5.8S ribosomal RNA
About the family: 5.8S ribosomal RNA (5.8S rRNA) is a component of the large subunit of the eukaryotic ribosome. It is transcribed by RNA polymerase I as part of the 45S precursor that also contains 18S and 28S rRNA.
Source: RNAcentral
CGACUCUCGGCAACGGAUAUCUCGGCUCUCGCAUCGAUGAAGAACGUAGCGAAAUGCGAUACUUGGUGUGAAUUGCAGAAUCCCGUGAACCAUCGAGUCUUUGAACGCAAGUUGCGCCCCAAGCCUUCUGGCCGAGGGCACGUCUGCCUGGGUGUC